GACGAACGCUGGCGGUGUGCUUAACACAUGCAAGUCGAACGGUAAGGCCCUUUCGGGGGUACACGAGUAGCGAACGGGUGAGUAACACGUGAGUAACCUGCCCUCAUCUCUGGGAUAACAGUCGGAAACGGUUGCUAAUACUGGAUAUGAGCUUGCAAGGCAUCUUGUGGGUUGGAAAGAUUUUUUUUGGUUGGGGAUGGACUCGCGGCCUAUCAGCUUGUUGGUGAGGUAGUGGCUCACCAAGGCUUCGACGGGUAGCCGGCCUGAGAGGGCGACCGGCCACAUUGGGACUGAGAUACGGCCCAAACUCCUACGGGAGGCAGCAGUGGGGAAUAUUGCACAAUGGACGGAAGUCUGAUGCAGCAACGCCGCGUGCGGGAUGACGGCCUUCGGGUUGUAAACCGCUUUCAAUUGUGACGAAGCUUUUUUGUGACGGUAGCAGUAGAAGAAGCACCGGCUAACUACGUG
This 468-nucleotide ribosomal RNA is filed under the name uncultured bacterium. RNAcentral describes it as "partial 16S ribosomal RNA". It matches the Rfam family "Bacterial small subunit ribosomal RNA", at positions 28 to 507 of the family's 1533-position model. The record is from RNAcentral.